This 208-nucleotide unclassified non-coding RNA is filed under the name Hevea brasiliensis (rubber tree). The record is from RNAcentral. Lineage: Eukaryota; Viridiplantae; Streptophyta; Magnoliopsida; Malpighiales; Euphorbiaceae.
AUGCACCCAAAAAUGUUCCUCAGAACUUCGAAGCUGGAUUCUCUGCUGUUAGUCUUGAUUCCCCAUGUCAAGUGACUCUUCCAUCGAUUCAGAACCAAAAUAUUCACUUUCCAGUGUUUCAAGUUCCUCCAUCAAUGAGUUAUUACCAUCAAAACUCAGUUUCAUGGCCAGCAGCUGCCCAUGCAAGUGGAAUGAUGCCUUUCUCCUA